This 253-nucleotide ribosomal RNA is filed under the name uncultured bacterium. RNAcentral's name for it is "partial 16S ribosomal RNA". It matches the Rfam family "Bacterial small subunit ribosomal RNA", at positions 524 to 776 of the family's 1533-position model. The record is from RNAcentral.
UACGUAGGGUGCGAGCGUUAAUCGGAAUUACUGGGCGUAAAGGGUGCGCAGGUGGUUAUUUAAGACAGAUGUGAAAUCCCCGGGCUCAACCUGGGAACUGCGUUUGUGACUGAAUAGCUAGAGUGCGGCAGAGGGGGGUAGAAUUCCACGUGUAGCAGUGAAAUGCGUAGAGAUGUGGAGGAAUACCGAUGGCGAAGGCAGCCCCCUGGGUCAGCACUGACGCUCAUGCACGAAAGCGUGGGGAGCAAACAGG